AUGAUGCAUAAUGGAUUUGUUCGCCAGGCGGAUGGAACGGAGAGUAGAGGACGCAGGAUGCUAAGGGGCUUUUCUUUCUAUGUGCAGGUCACCUGAAAACCGCGAAGCCUUCCUCUCCAGGAGAGCUCCUGAACUCACCCUCUGGCUGUGCUUUCAAGAAGGGAGAAGAACGGCUUCACACCCACCUGCCCGCCGCCUCUCCUGCCCGGUCCCCCCCUCCCCAGCCUCCGCCAGCCGCGCGAGCAGCUGCCGGCAUCCCCGGUCCCGCCGGCUCCCCGCUCGCUCAGCAGCCGGAGCCGGCAGCUCCCCCGGCGGCCGCCUCUGCACCACUCGCCAACCUCCACACCGGGCGGAGGUCAUGCCCGCCUGCCCCCGGCGCCCGGGCUGCCCCUCCUCGCAUCAGCCGAACACCCGGGAGCUGGGCUGGGGAAGGGGCCCCACGGCGGAGUUGGCACGGGGACUCACCAGAAUCUUUCCCCUCAUCCCCUUGGCACUCUCCGUCACUCUGGCAUCACAUGUACCUCGUCACUUUUUCCUGAGAAGAUCCUUGAGGUUCCAGUUCUUUUCCCUGCCACCCCCUGCCUACUGUGAGCUACAAAGCUGAGCUGAGACAUUUAACUUGUUUCCGAACCCACAAUCCUGUCGCUAUUGAAAUGGCAUUCAAAGUGCACUCUCCUCCCCUACGGAAUGAUGGAAAGGAAGGCUGAGGGCGUGACACACUGAACAAGAAGGCUGGCCAGUCUCCCACUGCUUGUGACAGGCUCAGAGUGGUCUGUAACUCAUACUGGAAAGAGAACGAACGAGGGAAAACACAAGGAAAAGGAACCCUUCCCCACCAGAUGCUUCAGAAUCUAACUGAAUUUGAAAAAGAAGCUGACAGAUAAGAACUGGAUUUACAUAAACCAAAACUAAAGUUUUGGAAUUGAAAUCCAAUUUUGAAGAUCAAAAGUGAAAUUGCAGAAAACCCAAACAAAUGAUGUGGAAUCAGGCUAGAAAAGUUCUCUAUCAAUGUAGAGAAAAGAAAAUCAGAUGAGAGAAAAGAUGGGCAACUUGGUAGAUCAAAAUAAAAGACUUAAUAUGUGGAUAAGAAGGAUGCCAUCAAAGAAGAUAUAACCAGAAUAAAAUUACGUUGCUGCAGUUUCGAAGAAAAACAAUGGAAGAAAACUUCUCAAGCUGUAAAAAGAAGUUGA
Long non-coding RNA from Phacochoerus africanus (Common warthog), 1190 nucleotides. RefSeq lists it as uncharacterized. The transcript has 3 exons. The record is from RefSeq and is a predicted model, not a curated record. Lineage: Eukaryota; Metazoa; Chordata; Mammalia; Artiodactyla; Suidae.